Molecule: long non-coding RNA, 1321 nt
Organism: Oreochromis aureus
Lineage: Eukaryota; Metazoa; Chordata; Actinopteri; Cichliformes; Cichlidae
Source: Ensembl
CGCGCUGCUCCGUGUGGCAAAUCGAGCGCACCUCUCUGCGUUUCGAACACGCGUCACAAGAGGACCCGAGGGAAGCUCGGAAAGCUAAGUAGAAGUUAUUUGGAGAGGAGAGGAUAAUGGCUGCUGAAGAAAGAAUGCCGUUGGUUGAAAAGAGGUAAAACGACUUCAGUGGUGUGGAAACCAAUGUUCCCUCUAAGCUGCGCACGUGCGCAAUUGCGCACUGCUGGCACGGUCUCUGCGCACAGAAAAUCUGCAUUGCGCACAAAAAAAAUCGAACCUGAAUUGAAAUUAAAAUUAAAACUUUAACAAUUCUGUUUUGCAGUGUUAGUCAGUAAGUGACUGGCUGCUCCUGUAUGGGAUUAGAACGAUGCCACCUUAUCCUAUAGUCCAGCCAAUAAUGCGAUUCACAUUCGUAUAUACGCAGCUAAUCAACGUGGUUGACAGGCUAUGACAGCGUCCUUAUGUGCCUACACCGGUGUUUUAGCUGGCAAAGCGACGUGGCUGAUGUGGUGUGAAGCCACGUUAAUGACAACGUGUACAACCAUUGGAGGUGUGAGCAGGACAGACGGAACAAUAGGGCUUUGGAGUUGACGUCACUGGAGGUGGGCCACGCCCCCUUUCCGCCAUGACAGUAGGCUAGACACAGGAUACAGCUUCAGCUAUGGUUCGUACGUGUUGUGUUAUCAGUUGCAACGUUUGAUCACACGAUCGUGAAGGCAAGAAGCUGGAUAAUGAGCUCUCUUUUCAUCGUUUUUCAACCUGGAGGCAACGUGAGGGAUCCCAUGUAUCCGAUAUUACUAAACAAAGACGUCAGGCUUGCAUUGCAGCGGUGAGACGAGCGGAUCGAGUUCUGUGCAAUCCCCAGCUUUUUGUUGGUUUGGUCUCCGCAUCUUUUUUCCGGCUUUUAUGCAGCUGCAGAGUCUGAAGGUGUGCCCGUGCAGAAGUAAUCGAUGAAGAUCUGACAGAAGAACAACAACAAAAUUACAAUGUCAUAGCUGUGGACAGCAGUUGUGUUGGACAAGUGGAGGUUGAGGUACCACCUGUAAAUGUGGACAGUGGUGAUGGGACAGACAGCAUCACAGAAGCUAAAGGGCAGACGAAGCAUUGUGUGUGCAAUGAACAGGGCAGAGCAGAAAUAAACACAACACUGCUUGAUAAGAUUGUUAAGGUUUGCUGUGUUUUGGUGAAUAUGUGCCCCAGUGUGGUUGUCAAACCAGCGCCAAAUGAAACUUGCUCUUGUUGAGUAUUCAUAAAGCUGUUGUGUUGCAUGUGUAGUUCAUUGUAAAUAAUUGUACUUUGUGUGAAGUAAUUUCAAUAAAAC